GAAGGCCUAAGAAUACACAUCCAUUGAUGAAGCCAUUGGCACCUCAAUAUCAAUGAGCUUGCUGCCUAAUACUAACAGAAAAUAAUAAAUUCUUUACGACAAGCAUAGAGUGCGAAACCUGUAUUGUCGUCCGUAGGGGGCAAGCUUACAACCACACCUUCCCUAAACAUUAACGCUUUUGCUUGGUUCUCACAUCCAGAUCAGACUUUGAC
RNAcentral lists this long non-coding RNA (212 nucleotides) under Setaria italica (foxtail millet). Its description in RNAcentral is "long non-coding RNA (SITA_LNC005149)". Lineage: Eukaryota; Viridiplantae; Streptophyta; Magnoliopsida; Poales; Poaceae. The record is from RNAcentral.